GACAGAGGGUGCAAACGUUGUUCGGAAUUACUGGGCGUAAAGCGCGUGUAGGCUGCUCGGAAAGUCGGAUGUGAAAGCCCUGGGCUCAACCUAGGAAGUGCAUUCGAAACUUCCGAGCUGGAGUGCUGGAGAGGAAGGCGGAAUUCUCGGUGUAGAGGUGAAAUUCGUAGAUAUCGAGAGGAACACCGGUGGCGAAGGCGGCCUUCUGGACAGUAACUGACGCUGAGACGCGAAAGCGUGGGGAGCAAACAGG
RNAcentral lists this ribosomal RNA (253 nucleotides) under uncultured bacterium. RNAcentral's name for it is "partial 16S ribosomal RNA". It matches the Rfam family "Bacterial small subunit ribosomal RNA", at positions 524 to 776 of the family's 1533-position model. The record is from RNAcentral.